GCAGACGGGUGAGUAACGCGUAAGAACUUACCCUAAAGUGGGGGACAACCUCGAGAAAUCGGGGCUAAUACCGCAUACGCUCCGCAAGGAGGAAAGCUACGGCGCUUUAGGAUGGGCUUGCGUCCGAUUAGCUAGUUGGUGAGGUAAUGGCCCACCAAGGCUUAGAUCGGUAGCUGGUCUGAGAGGAUGAUCAGCCACACUGGAAUUGAGAUACGGUCCAGACUCCUACGGGAGGCAGCAGCAGGGAAUAUUGCGCAAUGGGUGAAAGCCUGACGCAGCAACGCCGCGUGGGGGAUGACGGCUUUCGAGUUGUAAACCCCUUUUCUUGGGGAAGAUAAUGACGGUACCCGAGGAAUAAGUCUCGGCUAACUACGUGCCAGCAGCCGCGGUAAGACGUAGGAGGCGAGCGUUAUCCGGAUUUACUGGGCGUAAAGGGCGUGUAGGUGGUUCUCCAAGUCUUUGGUGAAAUCUCCCGGCUUAACUGGGAGGCUGCCAGAGAAACUAGAGAACUUGAGGGCAGCAUAGGGGAGUGGAAUUCCCGGUGUAGUGGUGAUAUGCGUAGAGAUCGGGAGGAACACCAGUGGCGAAAGCGGCUCCCUGGGCUGUACCUGACACUGAGGCGCGAAAGCGUGGGGAGCAAACAGGAUUAGAUACCCUGGUAGUCCACGCUGUAAACGAUGGAUACUAGGUAUGGGGGGUAUCGACCCCCUCCGUGCCGAAGCUAACGCUUUAAGUAUCCCGCCUGGGACUACGGCCGCAAGGCU
RNAcentral lists this ribosomal RNA (764 nucleotides) under uncultured bacterium. RNAcentral describes it as "bacterial SSU rRNA". It matches the Rfam family "Bacterial small subunit ribosomal RNA", at positions 98 to 895 of the family's 1533-position model. The record is from RNAcentral.